RNAcentral lists this ribosomal RNA (587 nucleotides) under uncultured bacterium. RNAcentral describes it as "bacterial SSU rRNA". It matches the Rfam family "Bacterial small subunit ribosomal RNA", at positions 232 to 831 of the family's 1533-position model. The record is from RNAcentral.
CGCGGCCUAUCAGCUUGUUGGUGGGGUGAUGGCCUACCAAGGCGACGACGGGUAGCCGGCCUGAGAGGGCGACCGGCCACACUGGGACUGAGACACGGCCCAGACUCCUACGGGAGGCAGCAGUGGGGAAUAUUGCACAAUGGGCGGAGGCCUGAUGCAGCGACGCCGCGUGAGGGAUGACGGCCUUCGGGUUGUAAACCUCUUUCGACAGGGACGAAGCGCAAGUGACGGUACCUGGAGAAGAAGCGCCGGCCAACUACGUGCCAGCAGCCGCGGUAAGACGUAGGGCGCGAGCGUUGUCCGGAUUUAUUGGGCGUAAAGAGCUCGUAGGCGGCUUGUUGCGUCGACUGUGAAAACCCGCAGCUUAACUGCGGGCCUGCAGUUGAUACGGGCAGGCUAGAGUUCGGUAGGGGAGACUGGAAUUCCUGGUGUAGCGGUGAAAUGCGCAGAUAUCAGGAGGAACACCGGUGGCGAAGGCGGGUCUCUGGGCCGAUACUGACGCUGAGGAGCGAAAGCGUGGGGAGCGAACAGGAUUAGAUACCCUGGUAGUCCACGCUGUAAACGUUGGGCGCUAGGUGUGGGGGGCC